AUAUCAAUAAGCGGAGGAAAAGAAACUAACUAGGAUUCCCCUAGUAACGGCGAGUGAAGCGGGAAGAGCUCAAGCUUAAAAUCUCUGUGCAAGUUUUGCAUGGCGAAUUGUAGUCUAUAGAGGCGUUAUCAGUGUAGUUGCUUGGGAUUGCAGCCUAAAGUGCGUGGUAAAUCUCACGUAACGCUAAAUAUAGACGAGAGACCGAUAGCGCACAAGUA
Molecule: ribosomal RNA, 218 nt
Filed under: uncultured eukaryote
Lineage: Eukaryota
Description: partial large subunit ribosomal RNA
Rfam family: Eukaryotic large subunit ribosomal RNA
Source: RNAcentral